CGCGGGGUGGAGCAGCCUGGUAGCUCGUCGGGCUCAUAACCCGAAGGUCGUCGGUUCAAAUCCGGCCGCCGCAACCA
RNAcentral lists this transfer RNA (77 nucleotides) under Escherichia coli. RNAcentral describes it as "tRNA-Met". It matches the Rfam family "tRNA". Rfam says of the family: Transfer RNA (tRNA) molecules are approximately 80 nucleotides in length. Their secondary structure includes four short double-helical elements and three loops (D, anti-codon, and T loops). RNAcentral also lists the same sequence under 1 other name. Lineage: Bacteria; Pseudomonadati; Pseudomonadota; Gammaproteobacteria; Enterobacterales; Enterobacteriaceae. The record is from RNAcentral.